RNAcentral lists this ribosomal RNA (303 nucleotides) under uncultured bacterium. Its description in RNAcentral is "partial 16S ribosomal RNA". It matches the Rfam family "Bacterial small subunit ribosomal RNA", at positions 507 to 807 of the family's 1533-position model. The record is from RNAcentral.
AGCAGCCGCCGCGGUAAUACGAAGGGUGCAAGCGUUAAUCGGAAUUACUGGGCGUAAAGCGCACGCAGGCGGUCUGACAAGUCAGAUGUGAAAUCCCCGGGCUCAACCUGGGAACUGCAUUGGUGACUGUAACGCUGGAGUGCGGCAGAGGGGGAUGGAAUUCCGCGUGUAGCAGUGAAAUGCGUAGAUAUGCGGAGGAACACCGAUGGCGAAGGCAAUCCCCUGGGCCUGUACUGACGCUCAUGCACGAAAGCGUGGGGAGCAAACAGGAUUAGAUACCCGUGUAGUCCCUGUCUCUUAUAC